Ornithorhynchus anatinus (platypus) is the source of this 404-nucleotide long non-coding RNA. RefSeq lists it as uncharacterized. The transcript is spliced from 3 exons. Lineage: Eukaryota; Metazoa; Chordata; Mammalia; Monotremata; Ornithorhynchidae. The record is from RefSeq and is a predicted model, not a curated record.
UGACCUCCCCGCCAGUUAACUCCAUCGAUUUUGCUUUUGUAGGAGGUAUUUGCCGCUCUGAUUUUUUUUUUGCUCGGCCAUCAUCUCUACAGUUUAUAAGCAAGCAGAACACAUAAGCGAAGCGGAGGAGAAGGGGAUCCAGGAUUGGAAGGAGGAGAUAAAGGAAACCGAAGUAAAUGACUCUGAGCUACAGCUAAAUCAAAUGCUUGUAGAAGAGUGGAGCUUGAGAUUUAAAAACCUUUUACUCUGAAGAAGAGCGAGCAUGUGUCCUUCUAGAUUACCGUUAGAAGAGCAAAUUUGCAAGAAGAAAAAUUAAUACUGAAUUUGGAAGAAACCCUGAAAAGCUAUUGUCUACUUGUUUGGGGAUCCCAAGGCAAUUUCAUUAAAAUUGAUUGUGAAUAUAA